GAAAAACUCCGCGUGGUAUAAUAUGGACCCGCGUUGGAUUAGCUAGUUGGCGAGGUAACCGCCCACCAAGCGCGACGAUCCAUAUUCCGACUCUGAUAGGGUGACCAGGCCACAUUGCGGCACUGAGACACGGUCCAAACUCCUAUCGGGAGGCCUCAGUGNAGGAAUAUUGCACAAUGGGCUAAAGCCUGAUGCAUCCACGCCUUCGUGAGCGAAGAAAUGUUUCUCUAUGUAAAGCUCUAUCAACAGGGAAUAUAAUGACUGGACCUGACUAACAAGCACCCGCUAAAUACUUGCCAGCACCCGCGGGUAAUACGGUAUGGUGCAAGCGUUAUCCUGAUUUACUGGGUGUUAAGGGAGCGCACGCACGUGCGGCAAGUCUGAUGUGAAAGCCCGGAGCUCAACCCCAGUACUGCAUUGUAAACUGUCACACUAUAGAGUCUGAGGGGUAAGCGGGAAUUCCUAGUGUAGCGGUGAAAUGCGUAGAUAUUAGGAGGAACACCAGUGGCGAAGGCGGCUUACUGGACGAUAACUGACGCUGAGGCUCGAAAGCGUGGGGAGCAAACAGGAUUAGAUACCCUGUAGUCCACGCCGUAAACGAUGAAUACUAGGUGUUGGGAAGCAUUGCUUCUCGGUGCUGUCGCAAACGCAGUAAGUAUUCCACUUGGGGAGUACGUUCGCAAGAAUGAAACUCAACGGAAUUGACGGGGACCCGCACAAGCGGUGGAGCAUGUGGUUUAAUUUGAAGCAACGCGAAGAACCUUACCAAGUCUUGACAUCCUUCUGACCGGUACUUAACCGUACCUUCUCUUCGGAGCAGGAGUGACAGGUGGUGCAUGGUCGUCGUCAGCUAGUGUCGUGAGAGGUUGGGUUAAGUCCCGCAACGCGCGCAACCCUGAUCUCUAGUAGCCAGCGGUUAGGCCGGGCAGUUUAGAGACACUGCCAGGGAUAACAUGGAUGAAGGUGGGGAUGACGUCAACUCAUCAUCCCCCGUACGACUGUGGGCUACACACCGUCUACAAUGGAUUAACCAAAGGGAAGCAAAGCCGAGAAGCGGAGCAAAUCUCAAAAAUAAUGUCUCAGUUGGGACCGUAGUGCGCAACCCGACUACAAGAAGCGGGAAUCGCUAGUAAUCGCAGAUCAGAAUGAAGCGGGGAAUACGUUCCCGGCUCGAGCACUCACCGCCCGUCA
Molecule: ribosomal RNA, 1191 nt
Filed under: uncultured bacterium
Lineage: Bacteria
Description: bacterial SSU rRNA
Rfam family: Bacterial small subunit ribosomal RNA
Source: RNAcentral